UCUGAUUCAGCGGCGGACGGGUGAGUAAUGCCUAGGAAUCUGCCUGAUAGUGGGGGACAACGUUUCGAAAGGAACGCUAAUACCGCAUACGUCCUACGGGAGAAAGCAGGGGACCUUCGGGCCUUGCGCUAUCAGAUGAGCCUAGGUCGGAUUAGCUAGUUGGUGAGGUAACGGCUCACCAAGGCGACGAUCCGUAACUGGUCUGAGAGGAUGAUCAGUCACACUGGAACUGAGACACGGUCCAGACUCCUACGGGAGGCAGCAGUGGGGAAUAUUGGACAAUGGGCGAAAGCCUGAUCCAGCCAUGCCGCGUGUGUGAAGAAGGUCUUCGGAUUGUAAAGCACUUUAAGUUGGGAGGAAGGGCAUUAACCUAAUACGUUAGUGUUUUGACGUUACCGACAGAAUAAGCACCGGCUAACUUCGUGCCAGCAGCCGCGGUAAUACGAAGGGUGCAAGCGUUAAUCGGAAUUACUGGGCGUAAAGCGCGCGUAGGUGGUUUGUUAAGUUGAAUGUGAAAGCCCCGGGCUCAACCUGGGAACUGCAUCCAAAACUGGCAAGCUAGAGUAUGGCAGAGGGUGGUGGAAUUUCCUGUGUAGCGGU
Molecule: ribosomal RNA, 600 nt
Filed under: uncultured bacterium
Lineage: Bacteria
Description: bacterial SSU rRNA
Rfam family: Bacterial small subunit ribosomal RNA
Source: RNAcentral